GAGAUGUUGGGUUAAGUCCCGCAACGAGCGCAACCCUUGUCUUUAGUUGCCAUCAUUAAGUUGGGCACUCUAGAGAGACUGCCAGGGAUAACCUGGAGGAAGGUGGGGAUGACGUCAAAUCAUCAUGCCCCUUAUGCUUAGGGCUACACACGUGCUACAAUGGGUAGUACAGAGGGUUGCCAAGCCGUAAGGUGGAGCUAAUCCCUUAAAGCUACUCUUAGUUCGGAUUGUAGGCUGAAACUCGCCUACAUGAAGCUGGAGUUACUAGUAAUCGCAGAUCAGAAUGCU
RNAcentral lists this ribosomal RNA (288 nucleotides) under Clostridioides difficile. RNAcentral describes it as "partial 16S ribosomal RNA". It matches the Rfam family "Bacterial small subunit ribosomal RNA", at positions 1069 to 1358 of the family's 1533-position model. The record is from RNAcentral. Lineage: Bacteria; Bacillati; Bacillota; Clostridia; Peptostreptococcales; Peptostreptococcaceae.